Molecule: long non-coding RNA, 435 nt
Organism: Xiphophorus couchianus (Monterrey platyfish)
Lineage: Eukaryota; Metazoa; Chordata; Actinopteri; Cyprinodontiformes; Poeciliidae
Exons: 2
Source: RefSeq, a predicted model, not a curated record
CGGGAGCCCAGCUUUCUCCGGGGUCCGUAGCGCGCGACAGUUGGAGUCCCGGGAACCGAGAUGUCCGGCUCCGGGUUGGAUGAGGUUUUCCUCAAGAGCAACGGAGAAACUGGAGCACUGCGGAGGUCUGAAACGGUGACACGUUUGAUGGUUUUGCCAUCCUGCUACAUGUUCAGGGCUGCAGCAGAGGAGAGGAGAGGAGAUGGGGGCUGCAGCCAAUUCCAGCUGUCACCGGGCGAGAGGCGAGGUGCAACGUGGAAAGGUCGUUAGUCCUUCACAGAGACGUGCAAGGCUAUAAAUCAUGCACGCUCCCACUCAUUUCCAAGGUCAAUUUGAAACCACAAACAUUCAGACAUGAAUGUUUUUGCCUACAGGAGGAAAGACAAACUCCCCACAGACGGACCUGAACAGCUAACAUUAAAAAUUUAAAGCCUU